Cinara cedri is the source of this 272-nucleotide non-coding RNA. Lineage: Eukaryota; Metazoa; Arthropoda; Insecta; Hemiptera; Aphididae. The record is from the annotation of a GenBank genome assembly.
AUAGUAAAACUAUGUUAGAUAAAUGUGCAAAAGUAAAAACAAAAACAAAUGGCUAAUGUAGAUUUUAUCUCCAGGAAAAACUAACCUCAAAAAAAAGUUUUUUUUAUGGUGAAGUGUAUAGCAGCAUGGUGGCAAGGGCACAGAGGAGAUAGCUAUAACUUUUGAAAGAAAGUGAGGUAAUAUAGUUAGAGUUAUACAAGGAUUUAUAGUAAAAUCAGAAAGCUGGAAGAAGGGUGGAAAAGCAUAAAAUUCCAAGCUCAAAGAGAAGGUGC